UCCGGCUUAUCACCGGCAGUCCCAUUAGAGUGCCCAACUGAAUGUGGCAACUAAGGGCAGGGGUUGCGCUCGUUGCGGCACUUAAGCCAACACCUCACGGCACGAGCUGACGACAGCCAUGCAGCACCUGUGCACACGCUCCGAAGAGAAGACGAUUUUCACCGCCGGUCGUGUGCAUGUCAAACCCAGGUAAGGUUCUUCGCGUUGCGUCGAAUUAAACCACAUGCUCCACCGCUUGUGCGGGCCCCCGUCAAUUCCUUUGAGUUUCAGCCUUGCGGCCGUACUCCCCAGGCGGGGCACUUAAUGCGUUAGCGCCGACACUCAGGGGGUCGCUCCCCCAAGCAUCUAGUGCCCAUCGUUUACGGCGUGGACUAC
This 375-nucleotide unclassified non-coding RNA is filed under the name uncultured bacterium. Its description in RNAcentral is "contains 16S-23S intergenic spacer region". The record is from RNAcentral.